AUUGAACGCUAGCGGGAGGCCUAACCCAUGCAAGUCGAACGAGUGGCGGACGGGUGAGUAAUGUCUGGGAAACUGCCUGGUGGAGGGGGAUAACUACUGGAAACGGUAGCUAAUACCGCAUACCAUCGGAUGUGCACAGAUCGGAUUAGCUAGUUUGUGGGGUAAAGGCUCACCAAGGCAACGAUCCCUAGCUGGGUUGAGAGGAGGACCAGACACACUGGAACUGAGACACGGUCCAGACUCCUACGGGAGGCAGCAGUGGGGAAUAUUGCACAAUGGGGGAAAGCCUGAUGCAGCCAUGCCGCGUGUAUGAUGAAGGCCUUCGGGUUGUAAAGUACUUUCGGCAGGGAGGCGUUACCCGCAGAAGAAGCACCGGCUAACUACGGGCCAGCAGCCGCGGUAAUUC
This 406-nucleotide ribosomal RNA is filed under the name uncultured bacterium. RNAcentral's name for it is "partial 16S ribosomal RNA". It matches the Rfam family "Bacterial small subunit ribosomal RNA", at positions 30 to 526 of the family's 1533-position model. The record is from RNAcentral.